AUUGGUCUGCUCGAGAAAUUGUCCAGUUAAGUUUACAAUUUAUUACACUUCACCUCUAAUUUCACUUCAAAACCUGAAAUCUACCAAACUCCACCACAAAAAUUAAUAAAUUUACUUUAGCGCUUGUAAAACAUAUCGAGACUAAAAGUGGAGCAUGCAUUUCAUCUUGUUGAGCACCUUACAUUUAAUUAUGAUUACAGCAUCCAGUAAUCUAAUCUUUCUAGGGAUAUUUUGGAAGUGGUGACCAUUUAUAUAAACAGUAUGGGGCUAUGUGGGCCAUCUCGGUCCUAGGGUGUUUGGAUACGAGGGAGGGCAAGUGACGGUUCGCCAGGCCACCGCGGGAUGCCAGCUCCCCCUUAGCACGACUUGCUGACACGUCCAGCAGCUCGUGUGGCGGCACUGCCUCGUCCAGCUCUUCUUUUACAGAGAAUUCAAAUGCGAUCGUCACUACGUGGGCGACUCUGGUAAACUGAAGCGGGGUCGCUCGUACCAUCAGGAACCAUGCGCCUCGUCGACCUAUAUGCGUAUCAACAAAGUCACAAGACGAGGCAAAGGUCUGUUGGCUUUGUCGCCCUCCAAGGUGCCGGUGUCGGACGUUUCCGUAUCCGAUAUCUCAGGGUCGAGCGUGCACAGGCUGGGCUUGCAGGGAGGCUGCUAAACAGGCAUGAAGGGGGUAUGCGAGCAUUUGAGCAGUGCGCAGAGUGUGAGCAUCAAGUAUAGCAGAGGGCUUGGUAUAGGAAAGCUAAUAUGCAUCCUUGGACAGUAUACAUUUACAAAAUGCUCUUGGGUUUUAAGAGUAGCAAAUUCUAAUUACUUUGUUUAUAUCUAUGCUAAAGGAAUGCUAAUACAGUAUUUAUCUUAAUGUGUAUAUGGAAUAUUUAUACAUAGUUUCCUGGUAUUUUCUACUUUGAUCAUAUAUUAAUAACUAAGCUUGCAUAUUCACAUAUACUACCCUAACAAUUUCUACUUCACAUCAUAUAGGCAUUAACCAAGCUGGCAAUUUUUACUUCCUGUAUAGUAUUAACUAAGCAAGCUAGUGUUCUAUCACUUGCGGUCAAUUUUUUUUUUGUUUUUUU
This is a non-coding RNA of Procambarus clarkii (red swamp crayfish), 1076 nucleotides long. The record is from RefSeq and is a predicted model, not a curated record. NCBI's taxonomy places the organism in Eukaryota, Metazoa, Arthropoda, Malacostraca, Decapoda, Cambaridae.